CCUACGGGGUGCAGCAGUAGGGAAUUUUCCACAAUGGGCGAAAGCCUGAUGGAGCAACGCCGCGUGGGUGAAGAAGGUCUUCGGAUCGUAAAACCCUGUUGUUAGAGAAGAAAGUGCGUGAGAGUAACUGUUCACGUUUCGACGGUAUCUAACCAGAAAGCCACGGCUAACUACGUGCCAGCAGCCGCGGUAAUACGUAGGUGGCAAGCGUUAUCCGGAUUUAUUGGGCGUAAAGGGAACGCAGGCGGUCUUUUAAGUCUGAUGUGAAAGCCUUCGGCUUAACCGGAGUAGUGCAUUGGAAACUGGGAGACUGGAGUGCAGAAGAGGAGAGUGGAACUCCAUGUGGAGCGGUGAAAUGCGUAGAUAUAUGGAAGAACACCAGUGGCGAAAGCGGCUCUCUGGUCUGUAUCUGACGCUGAGGUUCGAAAGCGUGGGUAGCAAACAGGAUUAGAGACCCGGGUAGUC
Molecule: ribosomal RNA, 465 nt
Filed under: uncultured bacterium
Lineage: Bacteria
Description: partial 16S ribosomal RNA
Rfam family: Bacterial small subunit ribosomal RNA
Source: RNAcentral